Long non-coding RNA from Orbicella faveolata, 1099 nucleotides. The record is from RefSeq and is a predicted model, not a curated record. NCBI's taxonomy places the organism in Eukaryota, Metazoa, Cnidaria, Anthozoa, Scleractinia, Merulinidae.
AAUCGGCCGCCUCAAAAUUACCAAUCAUCGAUAGAGAGAAAUUUCAUCAAACGAAGCAGACUGGGAACCAGUUCGUCAUACUCAGUUCUCCAUGCAUUGUGGGGUUGAAAUUUGGCUUGUGUGUUUUCCUCAACCGCGAAAACUCGAAAUAUUUUAUCUUUGAAAAACAGAGACGAUAUGGGUUCCUAAACUUGCCACGUGAAAAUUGUGAUAGCUUGACUCUGCGGGAAUCUAGAAGGAAGUUCCCAAUGAAAUUAAACAGCUUGGACAGCAGACACGAACAGGCAUUCGACAGGUGUUUUAAGUUGUAAUUUCUGCGGCCAUGACCAAACAUAGUGGGAUGUGGGUUGGAUGUCUGAUGACGUCAUCAAAGGACAUUGCUGAAAACACUCGAGAGACAUUUGACUGGGUUUUGAGCGCUGUUUAAACAUAUUUCAGGUAUUUGGGCUUCAUAUUUUAUCAAAAAUGGACAAGACUUUUAAAUGAAAGAACUGUAUCAUCUAGCAAUACAAUAUACAGUCUAGCUAUGACUAGGACACCUGGAAUGUAUAUAUUUUUUCAAUUUUGAAGUUCAGGUGGCCAGUCAUUGAAGCCCGCCACACUGCAAUCACAAUCAACAAUUUACUGAUCCAUUUGGCCUAUAUUCUUUAAGGUUAAAACCAUGACUGAAGACUUAACUUACAGCCACUGAAGUGUAAUAAAAAUGUCAAUGAACACGAAAAAAUUCAGGGAAAAAUUUGUCUUUUCGCUUCGUUAUUGUUGAUUGACCGUGUUUAUACAAAGCCAAUUACUGAAUUAGUGUGUAUGAACAUGAACAUUGCGAGUUACACAAAUUUGCAUUUUUUGCACUAGUAAUUAAAAAUCUGACAAGGUUCAGUCUGGUAUCAGUUAAAUGAAGACAUUUCUCCUUCACUGUUCUUUUGUUUGAAAAGUCUUUUUUUAAGUAGGUUAAUAACGUGAAUGUUACGUUUUGGUCAAAAACAAGCACCCUCUGCUUUCAGCGCGACAAUCUUUGUCUGUUAAGUCGAAUCUAAAUGGUUUGUUUUACUUUGCUUAUAUACUUAUAAAUGUUUGAUUCACUGAGUUAUUUUUUUGUAAA